This 2798-nucleotide ribosomal RNA is filed under the name Stenotrophomonas maltophilia. RNAcentral's name for it is "bacterial LSU rRNA". It matches the Rfam family "Bacterial large subunit ribosomal RNA". Lineage: Bacteria; Pseudomonadati; Pseudomonadota; Gammaproteobacteria; Lysobacterales; Lysobacteraceae. The record is from RNAcentral.
AGCGCACACGGUGGAUGCCUUGGCGGUCAGAGGCGAUGAAGGACGUGGCAGCCUGCGAAAAGUAUCGGGGAGCUGGCAACAAGCUUUGAUCCGGUAAUGUCCGAAUGGGGAAACCCACCCGCUUGCGGGUAUCCUGCAGUGAAUACAUAGCUGCUGGAAGCGAACCUGGUGAACUGAAAUAUCUAAGUAACCAGAGGAAAAGAAAUCAACCGAGAUUCCGUAAGUAGCGACGAGCGAACGCGGACUAGCCCUUAAGCUGGAUUGGUUCUAGGAAAACGCUCUGGAAAGAGCGGCCAUAGAAGGUGAUAGCCCUGUAUCUGAAAGGGCCAUUCCAGUGAAGACGAGUAGGGCGGGGCACGUGAAACCCUGUCUGAACAUGGGGGGACCAUCCUCCAAGGCUAAAUACUACUGACCGACCGAUAGUGAACCAGUACCGUGAGGGAAAGGCGAAAAGAACCCCGGAGAGGGGAGUGAAAUAGAACCUGAAACCGUGUGCGUACAAGCAGUAGGAGCUCCGCAAGGAGUGACUGCGUACCUUUUGUAUAAUGGGUCAGCGACUUACUGUUCGUGGCAAGCUUAACCGUAUAGGGGAGGCGAAGGGAAACCGAGUCUGAUAAGGGCGCAUAGUCGCGGGCAGUAGACCCGAAACCGGGUGAUCUAGUCAUGCCCAGGGUGAAGGUGCGGUAACACGCACUGGAGGCCCGAACCCACUCCCGUUGCAAAGGUAGGGGAUGAGGUGUGAUUAGGAGUGAAAAGCUAAUCGAACCCGGAGAUAGCUGGUUCUCCUCGAAAGCUAUUUAGGUAGCGCCUCAUAUGUAUCCUCUCGGGGGUAGAGCACUGUUAUGGCUAGGGGGUCAUCGCGACUUACCAAACCAUUGCAAACUCCGAAUACCGAGACGGACUGUAUGGGAGACACACGGCGGGUGCUAACGUCCGUCGUGAAAAGGGAAACAACCCAGACCCACAGCUAAGGUCCCAAAUUUUGUGCUAAGUGGAAAACCAUGUGGAAAGGCACAGACAGCCAGGAGGUUGGCUUAGAAGCAGCCACCCUUUAAAGAAAGCGUAAUAGCUCACUGGUCGAGUCGGUCUGCGGGGAAGAUUUAACGGGGCUAAGCACAGAACCGAAGCUUGGGGUGCAUAACUUUGUUAUGCGCGGUAGAGGAGCGUUCCGUAAGCCGUUGAAGGUGGAUUGAGAAGUCUGCUGGAGGUAUCGGAAGUGCGAAUGCUGACAUGAGUAACGAUAAUGCGGGUGAAAAACCCGCACGCCGAAAGCCCAAGGUUUCCUUGCGCAACGUUAAUCGGCGCAGGGUGAGUCGGCCCCUAAGGCGAGGACGAAAGUCGUAGUCGAUGGGAAGCAGGUUAAUAUUCCUGCACCUCGCGUAAGUGCGAUGGAGGGACGGAGAAGGUUAGGUGUACCAGGCGUUGGUUGUCCUGGGGAAAGGCGGUAGGUUUGGAUCUUUGGCAAAUCCGGGAUCCUUUAAGACCGAGCACCGAGACGAGCCUUUAUGGCGAAGUCACUGAUACCACGCUUCCAGGAAAAGCUCCUAAGCUUCAGCUUACGCAGACCGUACCGUAAACCGACACAGGUGGGUAGGAUGAGAAUUCUCAGGCGCUUGAGAGAACUCGGGUGAAGGAACUAGGCAACAUGGCACCGUAACUUCGGGAGAAGGUGCACCCUUUUUGGUGGCUCGUGCGAGCUAUAGCUGAAGAGGGUCGCAGUAACCAGGCCGCUGCGACUGUUUAUCAAAAACACAGCACUCUGCAAACACGAAAGUGGACGUAUAGGGUGUGACGCCUGCCCGGUGCUGGAAGGUUAAUUGAUGGGGUCAGCCGCAAGGCGAAGCUCUUGAUCGAAGCCCCAGUAAACGGCGGCCGUAACUAUAACGGUCCUAAGGUAGCGAAAUUCCUUGUCGGGUAAGUUCCGACCUGCACGAAUGGCGUAACGACAGCGGCGCUGUCUCCACCCGAGACUCAGUGAAAUUGAAAUCGCUGUGAAGAUGCAGCGUUCCCGUGGCAAGACGGAAAGACCCCGUGAACCUUUACUAUAGCUUUACACUGAACGUUGAGUUCGUCUGUGUAGGAUAGGUGGGAGGCUACGAAACCAUGGCGCUAGCUGUGGUGGAGCCAUCCUUGAAAUACCACCCUGUCGUGCUUGACGUUCUAACCUGGGCCCAUUAUCUGGGUCGGGGACCGUGUAUGGUGGGUAGUUUGACUGGGGCGGUCUCCUCCUAAAGAGUAACGGAGGAGCUCGAAGGUACGCUCAGCGCGGUCGGACAUCGCGCACUGUGUGCAAAGGCAUAAGCGUGCUUGACUGCAAGAUCGACGGAUCAAGCAGGUAGGAAACUAGGACUUAGUGAUCCGGUGGUUCUGUAUGGAAGGGCCAUCGCUCAACGGAUAAAAGGUACUCCGGGGAUAACAGGCUGAUACCGCCCAAGAGUUCAUAUCGACGGCGGUGUUUGGCACCUCGAUGUCGGCUCAUCACAUCCUGGGGCUGUAGUCGGUCCCAAGGGUAUGGCUGUUCGCCAUUUAAAGUGGUACGCGAGCUGGGUUCAGAACGUCGUGAGACAGUUCGGUCCCUAUCUGCCAUGGGCGUUGGAGAUUUGAGAGGGGCUGCUCCUAGUACGAGAGGACCGGAGUGGACGAACCUCUGGUGUUCCGGUUGUCACGCCAGUGGCAUUGCCGGGUAGCUAUGUUCGGAAGCGAUAACCGCUGAAAGCAUCUAAGCGGGAAGCGCGCCUCAAGAUGAGAUCUCCCGGGGCACAAGCCCCCUGAAGGAACCAUGUAGACUACGUGGUUGA